Molecule: ribosomal RNA, 484 nt
Filed under: uncultured bacterium
Lineage: Bacteria
Description: partial 16S ribosomal RNA
Rfam family: Bacterial small subunit ribosomal RNA
Source: RNAcentral
AGUGAACGCUGGCGGCAGGCCUAACACAUGCAAGUCGAACGGCAGCGCGGGAGCAACCUUGGCGGACGGGUGGGUACGGGCGGGUAAUACAUCCGUACGUGCGCAAUUACUGUGGCUAACGCGACGAAAUAUGGGAUAAUACCGUAUUCGAUCAACCGACCUACGGGGGGAAUCGCAAGAUCUUGCGCGAAUGGACGGUUAGAUGACAGAUUAGGUAGUUGGCGAGGUAAAGGCUCACAAAGCCACCGAUCUGUAGCUGGUCUGAGGGGACGAGCAGCCACACUGGGACUGAGACACGGCCCAGACUCCUACGGGAGGCAGCAGUGGGGAAUAUUGGACAAUGGGCGAAAGCCUGAUCCAGCCAUACCGCGUGAAGGAUGAAGGCCUUCGGGUUGUAAAGUGCUUUUGUACGGAACGAAACGGAGCUUUCUAAUAAGGCAGGGUAAUGACGGUACCGUAAGAAUAAGCACCGGCUAACUUCGUG